RNAcentral lists this ribosomal RNA (315 nucleotides) under Triticum aestivum (bread wheat). RNAcentral describes it as "partial small subunit ribosomal RNA". The record is from RNAcentral. Lineage: Eukaryota; Viridiplantae; Streptophyta; Magnoliopsida; Poales; Poaceae.
AUGCUGUGGAUAACAAGGAGAUUAUCAAGGCGGAGCGGCGGUGAGUAUGGAGCUCAUAAUCAUCAGUUCAUCACCAUGAAGCAGAAGAAAUGGUAUAGCUUUGCCAUGCUAGACUUUGGCAGCCACUGCUCCUCGGCAACAGGAGGUACAACCGCUGCCACCACUCCUUCGCAGCGACGCAGGUCAGCGACGAGGAGGCUCGCAAUGGUGGGGGACGCAUCACCAUCUGCCAGAGAGGAGAAAGGCAUACCUACCCCUUUAACGAUUGAAAUGCAGGUCCAGGGAAAACAUCUGCACCACUGUUGGGCCAAUUGA